UACGUAGGGUGCAAGCGUUGUCCGGAAUUAUUGGGCGUAAAGAGCUCGUAGGCGGUCUGUUGCGUCGGCUGUGAAAACCCGGGGCUCAACUCCGGGCCUGCAGCCGAUACGGGCAGACUAGAGUUCGGCAGGGGAGACUGGAAUUCCUGGUGUAGCGGUGAAAUGCGCAGAUAUCAGGAGGAACACCGGUGGCGAAGGCGGGUCUCUGGGCCGAUACUGACGCUGAGGAGCGAAAGCGUGGGGAUCAAACAGG
Molecule: ribosomal RNA, 253 nt
Filed under: uncultured bacterium
Lineage: Bacteria
Description: partial 16S ribosomal RNA
Rfam family: Bacterial small subunit ribosomal RNA
Source: RNAcentral